GUAAAAAUUAUAAAUAGAACCAUUUGUUACAUGCAAAUGAGAGAAACAUGGCUGAAAUUAUUAAGUUUGUUUGUUUUAUGAUUAUCUUUCUUUUCCUAAUUUUUGUUGCAAAGAACGUUGAAGCAUUAUAUACAAGAUGUUACUCAGACUCUGAUUGUCCAAAAGAGUUGUGCCCCAAACCUCGUACGAAACCAAAGUGUGUCGAUUUCGUAUGUAGAUGUGUUAAAAUAAUUUAUCCAGAUAAAUAGUGUCAAAACGAAGAGAGUCCACAAAUGUUGUACUAGAAUAUUUCAUGAGUUAUAAUUUGCUUGUUGAAUUGUCA
This is a long non-coding RNA of Trifolium pratense (red clover), 322 nucleotides long. RefSeq lists it as uncharacterized. NCBI's taxonomy places the organism in Eukaryota, Viridiplantae, Streptophyta, Magnoliopsida, Fabales, Fabaceae. The record is from RefSeq and is a predicted model, not a curated record. The transcript is spliced from 2 exons.